This 253-nucleotide ribosomal RNA is filed under the name uncultured bacterium. RNAcentral's name for it is "partial 16S ribosomal RNA". It matches the Rfam family "Bacterial small subunit ribosomal RNA", at positions 524 to 776 of the family's 1533-position model. The record is from RNAcentral.
UACAUGUGGGGCAAGCGUUGUUCGGAAUCACUGGGCGUAAAGCGCGUGUAGGCGGUAUGGCAAGUCUGCUGUGAAAGCUCUCGGCUUAACCGGGAGAGGUCGGUGGAAACUGCCACACUGGAGGACGGUAGAGGGGGGUGGAAUUCCCGGUGUAGUGGUGAAAUGCGUAGAGAUCGGGAGGAACACCUGUGGCGAAGGCGGCCCCCUGGGCCGGCCCUGACGCUGAGACGCGAAAGCGCGGGGAGCGAACGGG